Molecule: ribosomal RNA, 464 nt
Filed under: uncultured bacterium
Lineage: Bacteria
Description: partial 16S ribosomal RNA
Rfam family: Bacterial small subunit ribosomal RNA
Source: RNAcentral
CUACGGGGGGCUGCAGUGGGGAAUAUUGGACAAUGGGGGCAACCCUGAUCCAGCCAUGCCGCGUGUGUGAAGAAGGCCUUAGGGUUGUAAAGCACUUUCAGAUGUGAGGAAAGGUGUGUGCUUAAUACGUGCAUACUGUGACGUUAGCAUCAGAAGAAGGACCGGCUAACUCCGUGCCAGCAGCCGCGGUAAUACGGAGGGUCCGAGCGUUAAUCGGAAUUACUGGGCGUAAAGCGCGCGUAGGUGGUUUCGUCAGUCAGAUGUGAAAGCCCCGGGCUCAACCUGGGAAUUGCACCUGAUACUGCGGAACUAGAGUACGAUAGAGGGGAGUGGAAUUCCCGGUGUAGCGGUGAAAUGCGUAGAGAUCGGAAGGAACACCAGUGGCGAAGGCGACUCCCUGGAUUGAUACUGACACUGAGGUGCGAAAGCGUGGGGAGCAAACAGGAUUAGAUACCCGGGUAGUC